UACGUAGGUGGCAAGCGUUGUCCGGAUUUACUGGGCGUAAAGAGCGCGCAGGCGGUCGUUCAAGUCGCGUGUGAAAGCCCCCGGCUCAACUGGGGAGGGUCACGCGAUACUGAUCGACUGGAAGGCAGGAGAGGGUAGUGGAAUUCCCGGUGUAGUGGUGAAAUGCGUAGAUAUCCGGAGGAACACCAGUGGCGAAGGCGACUUUCUGGCCUGUUCUUGACGCUGAGGCGCGAAAGCUAGGGGAGCAAACGGG
This 253-nucleotide ribosomal RNA is filed under the name uncultured bacterium. RNAcentral describes it as "partial 16S ribosomal RNA". It matches the Rfam family "Bacterial small subunit ribosomal RNA", at positions 524 to 776 of the family's 1533-position model. The record is from RNAcentral.